UAACUACCGUGCUCCCUUGCGGUUCCCAUAAUUCCCAGCAUCUACACAUCAUAGAGUUAUCCCUACUCUAUGAUGUGUAGAUGCUGGGAAUUAUGGGAUCCGCAAAGAAGCAUGGUAGUUA
Molecule: microRNA precursor, 121 nt
Filed under: Pelobates cultripes (western spadefoot toad)
Lineage: Eukaryota; Metazoa; Chordata; Amphibia; Anura; Pelobatidae
Source: RNAcentral